CCUACGGGAGGCAGCAGUGGGGGAUAUUGCACAAUGGGGGAAACCCUGAUGCAGCGACGCCGCGUGUGGGAAGACGGUCCUCUGGAUUGUAAACCACUGUCCCCAGGGACGAAGAUGACGGUACCUGGGGAGGAAGCUCCGGCUAACUACGUGCCAGCAGCCGCGGUAAUACGUAGGGAGCAAGCGUUGUCCGGAAUUACUGGGUGUAAAGGGAGCGUAGGCGGGAUGGCAAGUUGGGUGUUAAAUCUACCGGCUCAACUGGUAGUCGCACUCAAAACUGCUAUUCUUGAGUGAAGUAGAGGCAG
This 305-nucleotide ribosomal RNA is filed under the name uncultured bacterium. Its description in RNAcentral is "bacterial SSU rRNA". It matches the Rfam family "Bacterial small subunit ribosomal RNA", at positions 338 to 660 of the family's 1533-position model. The record is from RNAcentral.